Molecule: ribosomal RNA, 464 nt
Filed under: uncultured bacterium
Lineage: Bacteria
Description: bacterial SSU rRNA
Rfam family: Bacterial small subunit ribosomal RNA
Source: RNAcentral
GGUCCAGACUCCUACGGGAGGCAGCAGUGGGGAAUAUUGCACAAUGGGGGGAACCCUGAUGCAGCGACGCCGCGUGGGUGAAGGAGCACCUCGGUGCGUAAAGCCCUAUCGGCAGGGAAGAAAAGCGAACAGGUUCGCCUGGACGGUACCUGACCAAGAAGCCCCGGCUAACUACGUGCCAGCAGCCGCGGUAAUACGUAGGGGGCAAGCGUUAUCCGGAUUUACUGGGUGUAAAGGGAGCGUAGACGGUUAUGUAAGUCUGGAGUGAAAGCCCGGGGCCCAACCCCGGGACUGCUUUGGAACUGCGUGGCUGGAGUGCAGGAGGGGCAGGCGGAAUUCCUGGUGUAGCGGUGAAAUGCGUAGAUAUCAGGAGGAACACCGGUGGCGAAGGCGGCCUGCUGGACUGCAACUGACGUUGAGGCCCGAAAGCGUGGGGAGCAAACAGGAUUAGAUACCCGAGUAGA